GAUGAAGAACGCAGCGAAAUGCGAUAAGUAAUGCGAAUUGCAGAAUUCAGUGAGUCAUCGAAUCUUUGAACGCACAUUGCGCCCGCCAGUAUUCUGGCGGGCAUGCCUGUCUGAGCGUCAUUUCAACCCUCAUGCCCCUAGGGCGUGGUGUUGGGGAUCGGCCAAAGCCCGCGAGGGACGGCCGGCCCCUAAAUCUAGUGGCGGACCCGUCGUGGCCUCCUCUGCGAAGUAGUGAUAUUCCGCAUCGGAGAGCGAUGAGCCCCUGCCGUUAAACCCCCAACUUUCCAAGGUUGACCUCAGAUCAGGUAGGAAUACCCGCUGAACUUAAGCAUAUCAAUAAGCGGAGGA
RNAcentral lists this unclassified non-coding RNA (348 nucleotides) under soil metagenome. RNAcentral describes it as "partial contains 5.8S ribosomal RNA, internal transcribed spacer 2, and large subunit ribosomal RNA". The stretch from base 1 to 120 matches the Rfam family "5.8S ribosomal RNA", at positions 35 to 154 of the family's 154-position model. The record is from RNAcentral.